RNAcentral lists this long non-coding RNA (220 nucleotides) under Sorghum bicolor (sorghum). Its description in RNAcentral is "long non-coding RNA (SBIC_LNC007544)". Lineage: Eukaryota; Viridiplantae; Streptophyta; Magnoliopsida; Poales; Poaceae. The record is from RNAcentral.
CCACCAUCUCCAUGGCUCUUCGAUGCUUUGCCAACUCUCUUCUACCUUAAUCAUCCUCCUGUACUCCCAUAGGCCAUCCCCAUCCAAUCGAUGUGGCUUGAAUCCAAUCGUGUGCGUAAAAAACAAAACAAAACAUGUUGCGCCAUGCCGCACUACUCCCUAGAUUCCCUCUCGCUCACCAUACUUGUCAUCCCACUCAUUGCUAGCACCCAAUCACCGC